CAGUAGCCGCGGGAAUACGUAGGUGGCAAGCGUUGUCCGGAAUUAUUGGGCGUAAAGGGCUCGCAGACGGUUUCUUAAGUCUGAUGUGAAAGCCCCCGGCUCAACCGGGGAGGGUCAUUGGAAACUGGGAAACUUGAGUGCAGAAGAGGAGAGUGGAAUUCCACGUGUAGCGGUGAAAUGCGUAGAGAUGUGGAGGAACACCAGUGGCGAAGGCGACUCUCUGGUCUGUAACUGACGCUGAGGAGCGAAAGCGUGGGGAGCGAACAGGAUUAGAUACCCCUGUAGUCCCUGUCUUUUAUAC
Molecule: ribosomal RNA, 301 nt
Filed under: uncultured bacterium
Lineage: Bacteria
Description: partial 16S ribosomal RNA
Rfam family: Bacterial small subunit ribosomal RNA
Source: RNAcentral